Molecule: ribosomal RNA, 1946 nt
Filed under: seawater metagenome
Description: bacterial LSU rRNA
Rfam family: Bacterial large subunit ribosomal RNA
Source: RNAcentral
CGACGCUCUUCCGAUCUAUACGGUGGAUGCCUUGGCAGUCAGAGGCGAUGAAGGACGUGGCAGCCUGCGAAAAGUGUCGGGGAGCUGGCAACAAGCUUUGAUCCGGCAAUGUCCGAAUGGGGAAACCCACCUCGCAAGAGGUACCGUGCACUGAAUACAUAGGUGCACGGAGCGAACCCGGGGAACUGAAAUAUCUAAGUACCCGGAGGAAAAGAAAUCAACAGAGAUUCCGUAAGUAGCGACGAGCGAACGCGGAUCAGCCCAAAAGCGCACAGUGUUUUAAUCGAAGAGUCUGGAAAGGCUCGCCGUAGACGGUGAUAGCCCGGUAGGUGAAAGGGCACCGUGCGUGAAAUUGAGUAGGGCGGGGCACGAGAAACCCUGUCUGAACAUGGGGGGACCAUCCUCCAAGGCUAAAUACUCCUGACUGACCGAUAGCGAACUAGUACCGUGAGGGAAAGGCGAAAAGAACCCCGGAGAGGGGAGUGAAAUAGACCCUGAAACCGUAUACGUACAAGCAGUGGAAGCCCGCAAGGGUGACUGCGUACCUUUUGUAUAAUGGGUCAGCGACUUACUGUCAGUGGCGAGCUUAACCGUCUAGGGGAGGCGAAGGGAAACCGAGUCUGAAUAGGGCGCAUAGUCUCUGGCAGUAGACCCGAAACCGAGUGAUCUAUCCUUGGCCAGGUUGAAGGUGCGGUAACACGCACUGGAGGACCGAACCCACAUCUGUUGCAAUAGAUGGGGAUGAGCUGAGGAUAGGAGUGAAAGGCUAAACAAACUCGGAGAUAGCUGGUUCUCCUCGAAAGCUAUUUAGGUAGCGCCUCGUAUGUAUCUUCCUGGGGGUAGAGCACUGUUAUGGCUAGCGGGUCAUCGCGACUUAGCAAACCAUGGCAAACUCCGAAUACCAGGACAGACUGUACGGGAGACACACGGCGGGUGCUAACGUCCGUCGUGAAAAGGGAAACAACCCAGACCGUCAGCUAAGGUCCCAAAGUUAUGGUUAAGUGGGAAACGAUGUGGGAAGGCUUAGACAGCUAGGAGGUUGGCUUAGAAGCAGCCACCCUUUAAAGAAAGCGUAAUAGCUCACUAGUCGAGUCGGCCUGCGCGGAAGAUGUAACGGGGCUAAGCAAUAUACCGAAGCUGCGGACGCAAAGUUUACUUUGCGUGGUAGGGGAGCGUUGUGUAAGUGGCUGAAGGUGAACUGAGAGGUUUGCUGGACAUAUCACAAGUGCGAAUGCUGACAUGAGUAACGAUAAUGCGGGUGAAAAACCCGCACGCCGGAAGACCAAGGUUUCCUGUCCCAUGCUAAUCAGGGCAGGGUAAGUCGGCCCCUAAGGCGAGGCAGAAAUGCGUAGUCGAUGGGAAACGGAUUAAUAUUUCCGUACUUGGUAUAUCAGUGAUGGGGGGACGGAGAAGGUUAUGCAAGCAUAGCGUUGGUUGUCUAUGUGAAAGUGUGUAGGGUUGAAUCUUAGGUAAAUCCGGGAUUCUACAUGCCUGAGACACGAGACGAGACUCUACGGAGUUGAAGUUGCAAAUACCCUGCUUCCAGGAAAAGCCUCUAAACUUAUGAUAUAUCGAACCGUACCCCAAACCGACACAGGUGGUCAGGUAGAGAAUACUAAGGCGCUUGAGAGAACUCGGGUGAAGGAACUCGGCAAAAUCGUACCGUAACUUCGGGAGAAGGUACGCCGCUGUUUGUGAUGAGACUUGCUCUCUAAGCGAAUGGCGGCCGCAGUGAAAAGGUGGCUGGGACUGUUUAUUAAAAACACAGCACUGUGCUAAAUCGAAAGAUGACGUAUACGGUGUGACACCUGCCCGGUGCCGGAAGGUUAAUUGAUGGGGUUAGCGCAAGCGAAGCUCUUGAUCGAAGCCCCGGUAAACGGCGGCCGUAACAAUAACGGUCCUAAGGUAGCGAAAUUCCUUGUCGGGUAAGUUCCGACCCGCACGAA